Unclassified non-coding RNA from Macaca fascicularis (crab-eating macaque), 117 nucleotides. It matches the Rfam family "Metazoan signal recognition particle RNA". Rfam says of the family: The signal recognition particle (SRP) is a universally conserved ribonucleoprotein. Lineage: Eukaryota; Metazoa; Chordata; Mammalia; Primates; Cercopithecidae. The record is from Ensembl.
GCCGGGCGUGGUGGCCUACGCCUGUAAUCCCAGCACUUUAGGAGGCCGAGGUGGGUGGAUCACCUGAGGUCAGGAGUUCAAGACCAGCCUGACCAACAUGGUGAAACCCCGUUUCUA